CAACAAUUGUCUUUUGUACUGUUGGUCAGAAUAAAUCUUAACAAAAUGGUCACUGCGGAGGCUAAGGGACUGGGCUGCUGACCUGUGGGUGAUGUCUAGAGAAUUUGAUUUGUGUGUCAGUUAUGCUUUGUUUUUGUAUUGUUACCUGCUAAUUUAUACCUCAAUGUAUUGGAACCUUGA
This is a long non-coding RNA of Spea bombifrons (plains spadefoot toad), 180 nucleotides long. RefSeq lists it as uncharacterized. The transcript has 2 exons. The record is from RefSeq and is a predicted model, not a curated record. NCBI's taxonomy places the organism in Eukaryota, Metazoa, Chordata, Amphibia, Anura, Pelobatidae.